CAGAUCCGUAGUACGCGAGUGAACUGGAGCAGUCCAGCGCUUAAUCAUUGUGCCCCUSGUGCAGCGAGGUGUAGCGUAUAGGUCGGUCUCAAGUGUCAGCCAGUUGUUCAAGUUUCCCUUGACCGGGGCAUCACAGAAGGUGCAAGUCCUGUACAACAACUGCGCUGGCUCUUCUUGGCCAGGCCUUGGAGUCGGGUUGUUUGGGAUCGCAGCCCAAAGCAGGUGGUAAACUUCAUCUAAGGCUAAAUAUGACCACGAGUCCGAUAGCGAACAAGUACCGUGAGGGAAAGUUGCAAAGCACUUUGAAGAGAGAGUUAAAGAGGACGUGAAACCGAUGAGGUGGAAACGGAUAGAGCCAGCGUAUCUGGCCUGUAUUCAACCGCUCGUGGAAAGCGCUCGUGCAGCUGGCGACUCCAGAUUGGGACAGUUGUGCAGGGCCAUGCUGGAUACGAGUGGUGCAUUUGCAGGUCGAGUGCGCCGAGAGGUUCGGAGCAGCGGUGUGAACUCAGUUUUGAGGCCAGCUUGCUGGUACCCGGACUGUGGGGAGUGCUGUUUGCUCUGGGCACUUGGGGUAUGGCUUACGGGCUCGGUUGGGUGCCGAGCUGCGGGUCGGCGGCGGUCGCAUGCGACACGUGCUGUACAAGCAGUUCGGUCCUAGUCGAGCUCACAUGCCCAUUCUCGGUGUAAGAGCUGGUCAUCUCUCCGACCCGUCUUGAAACACGGACCAAGGAGUUUAUCGUGUGCGCGAGUCAUUGGGCGUUGAAAACCCAAAGGCGCAAUGAAAGUGAAUGUCUCCGCAAGGAGCUGAUGUGCGAUCCUGCACUCUGCGGAGUGUGGGAGCAGCAUGGCCCCAUCCUGACUGCUUGCAGUGGGGUGGAGGAAGAGCGUACGCGGUGAGACCCGAAAGAUGGUGAACUAUUCCUGAGCAGGAUGAAGCCAGAGGAAACUCUGGUGGAAGUCCGAAGCGAUUCUGACGUGCAAAUCGAUCGUC
Molecule: ribosomal RNA, 991 nt
Filed under: Pratylenchus sp. KEN419-04
Lineage: Eukaryota; Metazoa; Nematoda; Chromadorea; Rhabditida; Pratylenchidae
Description: partial large subunit ribosomal RNA
Source: RNAcentral